Molecule: ribosomal RNA, 440 nt
Filed under: uncultured bacterium
Lineage: Bacteria
Description: bacterial SSU rRNA
Rfam family: Bacterial small subunit ribosomal RNA
Source: RNAcentral
GAUGAACGCUGGCGGUAUGCCUAACACAUGCAAGUCGUACGAGAGUUUUUAACUCUAGUGGCGGACGGGUGAGUAACACGUGAGAAUUUGCCUUUAGGAGGGGGAUAACAAUUGGAAACGAAUGCUAAUACCCCAUAUGCUUUUGAGUGAAAUGGAUUUUAUCCGCCUAGAGAGAAGCUCGCGGCUGAUUAGCUUGUUGGUAAGGUAAGAGCUUACCAAGGCGACGAUCAGUAUCUGGUUUGAGAGGACGAUCAGACACACUGGAACUGAGACACGGUCCAGACUCCUACGGGAGGCAGCAGUGGGGAAUUUUCCGCAAUGGGCGAAAGCCUGACGGAGCAAUACCGCGUGAAGGAUGAAGGCCUGUGGGUUGUAAACCUCUUUUUCAGGGAGGAAUAAAAUGACGUGUACCUGAAGAAUAAGCAUCGGCUAACUCCGUG